CAAGUACUCCCUCCGUCCAGAAUUACUUGUCAUCAAAACGGAUCUGUCUAGAACUAAAAUACAUCUAGAUACAUCCAUUUCAAUGACAAGUAUUUUCGGACGGAUGGAGUACAAG
Triticum aestivum (bread wheat) is the source of this 115-nucleotide non-coding RNA. The record is from Rfam. NCBI's taxonomy places the organism in Eukaryota, Viridiplantae, Streptophyta, Magnoliopsida, Poales, Poaceae.